AACGAACGCUGGCGGCAGGCCUAAAACAUGCAAGUCGAACGGGUGUAGCAAUACAUCAGUGGCGCACGGGUGAGUAACGCGUGGGAACAUGCCCCUUAGUACGGGACAACGUCGGGAAACUGACGCUAAUACCGUAUAAUAUCUCCGGAUCAAAGAUUUAUCGCUGAGGGAGUGGCCCGCGUCUGAUUAGCUAGUUGGUGAGGUAAUGGCUCACCAAGGCUACGAUCAGUAGCAGGUCUGAGAGGAUGAUCUGCCACACUGGGACUGUGACACGGCCCAGACUCCUACGGGAGGCAGCAGUUAGGAAUAUUGGACAAUGGGCGAAAGCCUGAUCCAGCCAUGCCGCGUGUGUGAUGAAGGCCUUAGGGUUGUAAAGCACUUUCGUUGGGGAUGAUAAUGACCGUACCCAAAGAAGAAGCACCGGCUAACUUCGUGCCAGCCGCCGCCGUAA
This 451-nucleotide ribosomal RNA is filed under the name uncultured bacterium. Its description in RNAcentral is "partial 16S ribosomal RNA". It matches the Rfam family "Bacterial small subunit ribosomal RNA", at positions 29 to 523 of the family's 1533-position model. The record is from RNAcentral.